Athalia rosae (coleseed sawfly) is the source of this 2997-nucleotide long non-coding RNA. RefSeq lists it as uncharacterized. NCBI's taxonomy places the organism in Eukaryota, Metazoa, Arthropoda, Insecta, Hymenoptera, Athaliidae. The transcript is spliced from 3 exons. The record is from RefSeq and is a predicted model, not a curated record.
AUUCCUUCUAGAAGCAAAACAACAUUUUUGAAGUACAGCCUUGAGAGAUAGUGGUCAUACAAUUUCUGGCACCAAAAGUUAAAUGAAUGAUUGAAAUAAGGUGGUCCAGUAAGAGCAUACAUUGUACCCUCCUCGACAAAUGCAAGGAUAAAUGCAAAUAUUUCUCACAUCUAUGAUGCAAAUUGAACUCAGUAACUUUGGUGUAAUGAUGGUGAAUCAGCCAUAGUGUUGAAAUGAUUUUGGCAUACGCACUUACGGGGAGAAACGGAGUCGUCAAGAAAUCUCACACGUCAUACGCCAUUUUAAAGAAAAAGCUUUCGUCGGUAAUAAACGCGUGGAUCGCGAUCACCGAGUGAGACCACGAGUAUCCACGAUGUCGACUAUUCACUCCAUGAACUGUCAAACAAAACCACGUGCUCGACUAGCAGACGAUUAUGAUCACUUAUGACAGAAGAUGUAGCUCAUUGAGCUUUAAACUGAAAGCUGAAAGUGACUGAAAUCGUUCAGGAGUUACCCAGUUAUGUAUGACAACUAUCUCAUCUUUAUCAAAUCUCUAUAAGAAAAAUUUAUCCGAUAUCAUGUGUUUUUAUUUCUACCAAUCACUAAUCAGUGACAAUUUUUGAAGAAAUCCUUCAUCCUUCUUUGGUCACUUGAUCGCGCCAUACAGAAGAUGAAUAACUGCAAUAAAUAGUGUCACUGACUUGUGUCAUACUCAUUAGUAUAAAUUGAGGCAAUAUUACAUUGAAUUAAUGUCUGACAUAUGGUGUAUCUGAUAUAUACAUUUAUAUUCCUGCUUCAUUAUACACAUGAAACAGAUAUGAUUAUUUAUUUCUACUUUGUCUCUUGUUUAUUUUUACACAGGAAUCUGAAUAUUUGUCUUUGAUAGUCAUAAUUGCUCAAUCAGUUCACAUUAGCCAUUAAUUUUGAAUUUCAGCUUUUAAUAUAAUAAUUUGACCACCAUACAACACAGCAAUAUGCCAAUGCUGUUCUUCCUAUGUCUCAAUAUGUCAGAUGGUAUAGUGCGAUUUGAUUAUUGGAGACACUGCCUCAGUGCAUAUCAAACAUUUUGGGAUACCAUCAUAUCCCCCAGUGACACACAUUCUAAGUUAUUGCUAAUUUCUACUUGUGAUCAUGUAAUUACUAUUUAGUCCUAUUUCAAACACAUUUAUCAUGUACUAGUUGCAGGUAAAACCUGAUCAUUAGGAUGGUCCUUUGCUGCCAAACCCAGUUUAAUAGAUAAAUUGUUUUUUCACUGUCAGACCCUAGGCCAAUGGAAACACAGUCCACUUAGCUUAUAUUUUUAUUAGAACGAGAAUGAGACAGCAAUCAAACAUUUUAUUUAUUCUUAUAAUAUUUUUUUUUAAUCGAUAAAAAAUUGCUCAGAAACUUAUGGCAUCAGGUGUGAUUGAUAUUAUCCUUCGUGAUUCCAUAAAUUAUCACCUUAAUGAUAAUUAGUCACAUUUGAAUUAGUUUCACAUUGAAAAAAUGGUGAAAUUUUAUUUUUGGAUAGUAAAUGAAGUCAAAAAUGAACAUUAUCGCUAUCGCUAAUAUUUUCGCACAGGGUCCCAUUUUUGCGAAUACAGGCUGAUGAAGCAUGUGUUCCCAUUAGCUUUACAAUUAGUAUCUUGACAUUAAAAAGAAAAAAAAAACGAACUCCUUGUGACUAGAAACAGGUUUGGCGGGUGAUAAGAAAAAAAAUUUCCAACCCCUUAAUAGGGGAACCCUAAUUUAUGCACAUAUGUAUUGUGAAGUCAAUGCUACUGCUCUAAUAGUAGUUCAAGACGCCAGUAUUGGGUAGACCCAAAAGUUUUUAUCAAUAUUAAAUUACGCAACAAAUGAUUACAUUUGGCUAGUACAAAUUGGAAUGUGAGACUCAAAUAUUCGUGCAUGGUUUGUGGCAAGCAAAUGUAAUAGAAACCUGAUUUUCAUCACAUUGCAUGUCUAAAAUUAUGUAAUAUGAUAAAGGAUGUCAUAAGGCAUGCGUGGAAACAACUCAUGUUAAUCAGGGAGAGUUAUUAUUCUGUUGCUAACACGUCAUUGAAAAUAUUGAUUGAUCGUAAUGAACAAAGAAUAAAUCAUAAAUAGGCAUUAAAUAGACUUCUCACAAAGUGAAGCAAAAAUGCGAACUGCAUGUAUCGAUCUAUUGCUAAUUGCUUUUUCUGUGGUGUUUAAAUGAAAUCAGCCAUUUAAAUGAAUCAAUUCUGAAGUUGUGAUCAGAACAUAGGUAUGUGUAUGCAAUUAUAAUAAGUUCAACUUUAUCUGGUGUUUAUUCCUCCCUGGUCUCUGAAAUCUUGUUGCGAAACACUAGGUAAAAUUCAUGUUUCGGUACUGAAAAACACUGGACGUAAAUUCAUAUGAAUAAAGGUCACUUAUCCGCGAUUGAAUCGAUAAACAUUACAAAUAGUAAUAAAAUUUAAUCACUUCAAAAUUUAGUUUUCACCUUUUGUUUUAUUUCUCGUUUGACAUCGAUAAAAAAUUAUAUAUUUCGAUAAUUAUUUUAUUAUUAAUUAUUAUAUCUUAUUGUUCCAUUAGAUUUUAAACUAAAAUGCUCCAUGGCCUUUUGUAGCAGGCACCAUCUAUAUACCUAUAAAUAUAAAGUAGAUUUAUUGUUAUUUAUUAUCAAUAUUCAAUUUAUCUUAUUGUAAUGAUCAAUCAUAAUAACUCACAAAUACUAACUCUAUUACUUUUUGAGAUUAAUUAUCGUGGGUGAUCAGUGCAAAAUAGACAAAUAAUUAACUGUUCUAUAUUAUCAUACAUUCAGAGUAAUUGCAAAAACGACUUCUAACUACCGCAGAACAUUUGAGACAUACUUGAGUGAGUGCAAAGUUCUGCGUUUACAGAAAGUCUGUAUUCUCGACAGGCAAAAGUAGUUGAUUAGACCAGUCACCAAUAUACCUCCCAACAUCGGAAUACUCUAACCUUCAGCAGGGGUAUCCAGGGCACUCUGUCUGAAAAAUAUGCUCAGAUUGCAUCGUCGAGACUAGUAACAAAAAUUAA